UUUCCGGCGACUUUUCGGCCACUUUCCGGCCACUUUUCCGGCGACUUUCCCCGGCGACCAAACUCACCGUUUCGCUGGAUUUUCGAGUGGAAAUCCUUAAUAUGUUUGCGCAGGUACUGAAGAUUAUGGAAUGGAUUAACUGCUAGCUUAAGAGAUUUAUAGCUGUGUAGUUAGGAUUUUAGUACUUUGUACUCAUAGAUGUUUGUACUAUUUGCUUGUAAUAUGUCUAGACAUUUACUUGUAAUUAAUAAGUUCCAUGCAGGCUUUAGUGUCA
Alnus glutinosa is the source of this 274-nucleotide long non-coding RNA. RefSeq lists it as uncharacterized. The transcript has 2 exons. NCBI's taxonomy places the organism in Eukaryota, Viridiplantae, Streptophyta, Magnoliopsida, Fagales, Betulaceae. The record is from RefSeq and is a predicted model, not a curated record.